This is a long non-coding RNA of Corticium candelabrum, 676 nucleotides long. RefSeq lists it as uncharacterized. The transcript has 5 exons. The record is from RefSeq and is a predicted model, not a curated record. NCBI's taxonomy places the organism in Eukaryota, Metazoa, Porifera, Homoscleromorpha, Homosclerophorida, Plakinidae.
CGGGAUACUUUGGUACAUUGGAGCCAGCUCUGCUGUCGAACACAGAGAUGUCUAGACGGCUUUCAGAUGUUGAAUACCUGCCUGUUGGUUCUUUCCUUUGGUGUAUUUGAAGGCUUGCCAAACACUCAGACCACACAGACACAAUGGAAUUGUGUGUCCAGACUGGUCCACCUCCAGUUUUACAAGUGAUUUGGUAGUAGCCGCUGGAAUCAUGAAUUGUUUAGCACAUCAUAACAACAUCUGCAUGCUUCCCAUUUCUAGUUCUCAUCAGAGUGAAACAUGGAACAAAACGUGAUGUUGAAGUCGUACUGCUUGACCAUGGACUAUACAUGCAUGUCAAUUCAAGUGAUAGGAAGGAGUUAUGUCAACUGUGGAAAAGUAUUAUUUUGAAAGACGAGGAGGGAAUGAAACAGCACAGUUUGAAUUUAGGAGUAGAAGAAUAUUUUUUCUUUGCUCAGAUGUUGAUUCAAAGACCGAUUAUUCGAAAUAGUGGUAGAAUGAGAUUUCUUACGAAGACGACGUUGACUAAAGAGGAUGUUGAUGAAAUCAGACGUGUCAUACAGAAACACAUGGACGUUGUUGUUCAAAUACUCAGGAAGUUACCGUCAUCGAUGUUGCUGGUAUUCAGAAACAUGAAUCAAGUACGAGCUGUCAACAAAGAACUGGGUACACCUGC